AGAGUUUGAUCCUAGUCUCAGGAUGAACGCUGGCGGCGUGCCUAACACAUGCAAGUCGAACGGAGCCUUAACCAAAGGAGCAGCCAGCUUGCUGGAAGCGGAAAAGGGAAAGGCUUAGUGGCGGACGGGUGAGUAACGCGUGGGUAACCUGGCCCAUACAGGGGGAUAACACUUAGAAAUAGGUGCUAAUACCGCAUAACAACAGAAAGCGCAUGCUUUUUGUUUGAAAACCAAGGUGGUAUGGGAUGGACCCGCGUCUGAUUAGCUGGUUGGCGGGGUAAAGGCCCACCAAGGCGACGAUCAGUAGCCGGCCUGAGAGGGUGGACGGCCACAUUGGGACUGAGACACGGCCCAAACUCCUACGGGAGGCGGCAGUGGGGAAUAUUGCACAAUGGGGGGAACCCUGAUGCAGCGACGCCGCGUGAGUGAAGAAGUCAUUCGUGAUGUAAAGCUCUAUCAGCAGGGAAGAAAAUGACGGUACCUGACUAAGAAGCCCCGGCUAACUACGUGCCAGCAGCCGCGGUAAUACGUAGGGGGCAAGCGUUAUCCGGAUUUACUGGGUGUAAAGGGAGCGUAGACGGCAGCGCAAGUCCGAAGUGAAAGCCCGGGGCCCAACCCCGGGACUGCUUUGGAAACUGUGAAGCUGGAGUGCGGGAGGGGCAGGCGGAAUUCCUGGUGUAGCGGUGAAAUGCGUAGAUAUCAGGAGGAACACCGGCGGCGAAGGCGGCCUGCUGGACCGUAACUGACGUUGAGGCUCGAAAGCGUGGGGAGCAAACAGGAUUAAGAUACCCUGGUAGUCCACGCGGUAAACGAUGAUUACUAGGUGUCGGGGGGCAGAGCCCUUCGGUGCCGCCGCAAACGCAGUAAGUAAUCCACCUGGGGAGUACGUUCGCAAGAAUGAAACUCAAAGGAAUUGACGGGGACCCGCACAAGCGGUGGAGCAUGUGGUUUAAUUCGAUGCAACGCGAAGAACCUUACCCGGCCUUGACAUCCUCCCGAAUACUGAGUAAUGUCAGUAGACCUUCGGGACGGGAGAGACAGGUGGUGCAUGGUUGUCGUCAGCUCGUGUCGUGAGAUGUUGGGUUAAGUCCCGCAACGAGCGCAACCCCUACAGCCAGUAGCCAGCAGGUAAAGCUGGGCACUCUGGCGGGACAGCCUGGGAUAACCAGGAGGAAGGCGGGGACGACGUCAAAUCAUCAUGCCCCUUAUGGCCGGGGCUACACACGUGCUACAAUGGCGUAAACAGAGGGAAGCGAGAUAGCGAUAUUAAGCAAAGCCCAAAAAUAACGCCUCAGUUCGGAUUGCAGCCUGCAACUUGGCUGCAUGAAGCCGGAAUCGCUAGUAAUCGCGGAUCAGAAUGCCGCGGUGAAUACGUUCCCGGGUCUUGCACACACCGCCCGUCA
RNAcentral lists this ribosomal RNA (1403 nucleotides) under uncultured bacterium. RNAcentral describes it as "bacterial SSU rRNA". It matches the Rfam family "Bacterial small subunit ribosomal RNA". The record is from RNAcentral.